GAUGAAGAACGCAGCGAAAUGCGAUAAGUAAUGUGAAUUGCAGAAUUCAGUGAAUCAUCGAAUCUUUGAACGCACAUUGCGCCCGCUGGUAUUCCGGCGGGCAUGCCUGUUCGAGCGUCAUUUCAACCCUCAAGCCCCCGGGUUUGGUGUUGGGGAUCGGCUCUGCCCUUCUGGGCGGUGCCGCCCCCGAAAUACAUUGGCGGUCUCGCUGCAGCCUCCAUUGCGUAGUAGCUAACACCUCGCAACUGGAACGCGGCGCGGCCAUGCCGUAAAACCCCAACUUCUGAAUGUUGACCUCGGAUCAGGUAGGAAUACCCGCUGAACUUAAGCAUAUCAAUAACGGAGGA
RNAcentral lists this unclassified non-coding RNA (347 nucleotides) under soil metagenome. Its description in RNAcentral is "partial contains 5.8S ribosomal RNA, internal transcribed spacer 2, and large subunit ribosomal RNA". The stretch from base 1 to 120 matches the Rfam family "5.8S ribosomal RNA", at positions 35 to 154 of the family's 154-position model. The record is from RNAcentral.